Molecule: non-coding RNA, 310 nt
Organism: Arachis ipaensis
Lineage: Eukaryota; Viridiplantae; Streptophyta; Magnoliopsida; Fabales; Fabaceae
Source: RefSeq, a predicted model, not a curated record
UCUCUUUUGAUAUCUCUCUCUCUCUCUUGCCCUCUCUCACUUUCUUCUGUUGGUUGCAGGGGAUACUAAAUAAGAGAAAAUUGGUUGCUAUUGAUGCUGGAAACAGGGGCUAUCCUCCGAAUAAGAAUUUCACUUACAAUGACAAUGUAUAUUUCUUCUUCAAGUCGAGGGCUUACCAAGAUUAUGCUGCGGAAAAAUCCAGAGCUUAGGCAAGCAUCUGCUACAUAUACUAUCAUCUACUCCUAGACAUCCAAACCUCAUUGAGCACACCAGUGAGAAAGCCAAGGAAGCUAAAGAUAUACAAGUGAGA